GUCCACGCUGUAAACGAUGGAUACUCGUUAUUGGGGUUUCGGCUUCAGUGACUAAGCAAAGUGAUAAGUAUCCCACCUGGGGAGUACGCUCGCAAGGGUGAAACUCAAAGGAAUUGACGGGGGCCCGCACAAGCGGUGGAGCAUGUGGUUUAAUUCGAUGGUACGCGAGGAACCUUACCUAGACUCGAAUGGUGUAUGAACGUCUCAGAAAUGGGAUUUCCAGCAAUGGUAUAUAUCAAGGUGCUGCAUGGUUGUCGU
This 258-nucleotide ribosomal RNA is filed under the name uncultured bacterium. RNAcentral's name for it is "partial 16S ribosomal RNA". It matches the Rfam family "Bacterial small subunit ribosomal RNA", at positions 793 to 1055 of the family's 1533-position model. The record is from RNAcentral.